CUGAAGAAAUGGCAAAGGUUGAGCUGGCUCCUAGGAGUACGUGCUCGCCUCUGUCGCUUUUUCUACUUUCCACUGUGCACCUUAUGUAGGCUUUGCGCGAAAGGUUGACUUGUCAACCGAUUGUUAAAAGCCUAUGUCUUAUAUACACCAUUGAAAAGUCUUUGAAUGUGUCUCUAUUGUUGGUCUUUGAACCGAUAAUAAACUUGUA
RNAcentral lists this unclassified non-coding RNA (208 nucleotides) under uncultured Polyporales. RNAcentral describes it as "sequence contains ITS1". The record is from RNAcentral. Lineage: Eukaryota; Fungi; Basidiomycota; Agaricomycetes; Polyporales.